CCUACGGGAGGCAGCAGUGAGGAAUUUUCCGCAAUGGGCGCAAGCCUGACGGAGCAACGCCGCGUGCAGGAGGACGGCCUUCGGGUUGUAAACUGCUUUUCUGGGGGACGAGGAUGCAAGGACGGUACCCCAGGAAGAAGCCCCGGCUCACUACGUGCCAGCAGCCGCGGUAAUACGUAGGGGGCGAGCGUUGUCCGGAGUUACUGGGCGUAAAGCGCCCGCAGGCGGUUCUGCGCGUGUUCGGUGCCAGCCCGUUGCUUAACGGCGGGAGUGCCGGGCAGACGGCAGGACUCGAGGGCCUCAGAGGGACAUAGAAUUCCGGGUGGAGUGGUGAAAUGCGUAGAGAUCCGGAGGAAUACCAAUGGCGCAGGCAGUGUCCUGGGAGGCAACUGACGCUGAGGGGCGAAAGCCAGGGGAGCGAACGGGAUUAGAUACCCUUG
RNAcentral lists this ribosomal RNA (440 nucleotides) under uncultured bacterium. Its description in RNAcentral is "bacterial SSU rRNA". It matches the Rfam family "Bacterial small subunit ribosomal RNA", at positions 338 to 790 of the family's 1533-position model. The record is from RNAcentral.